CCUCUCCGUAGUGCGGGCACUGGUCAUCACCGGCCCCGGCAGGGCCGAGGUCGUGGACGUGGGGCCGCCGGUCGCGGCGGCGGGGCAGGU
Molecule: transfer RNA, 90 nt
Filed under: Microbispora bryophytorum
Lineage: Bacteria; Bacillati; Actinomycetota; Actinomycetes; Streptosporangiales; Streptosporangiaceae
Also listed under: 1 other name
Description: tRNA-Ala
Source: RNAcentral